This 122-nucleotide transfer RNA is filed under the name Fidelibacterota bacterium. Its description in RNAcentral is "tRNA-Pro". The record is from RNAcentral. Lineage: Bacteria; Pseudomonadati; Fidelibacterota.
CUGGAUGUUGUGGAGUUGAAGCAUUUAAUACUUUGCAAGAAUGUCAAAAUACUUGUGAAUAAAUAACUAAUCCAUCCUGCUUUGGGAGCAGGGGGUCGCAGGUUCGAAUCCUGCCACCUCGA